UGAAUACCAUAUCAUCUGCAAACGCCUGUAGUUUUUACUGUUCUUUUUUUAUUUCCAUACCUUUUAUCUCUGCAUCCCGUCUAAUAUUUCUAUUCA
Non-coding RNA from Notechis scutatus (mainland tiger snake), 96 nucleotides. Lineage: Eukaryota; Metazoa; Chordata; Lepidosauria; Squamata; Elapidae. The record is from RefSeq and is a predicted model, not a curated record.